AGACUGUGUUCUAUGACCGGAAGAGCUUUGGCUGUGUGUUAAGAAUCCACUACAAAAAUGAAUUUCAGCCAGACAUCGAACUGUAAGUUAGACACAAGCACAAUUAGACUCUUGAGUACAAAAAUUUAAUUAAACCUUCUGAAACAAUUAGCAAUAUGUGUCACACACUGUUUUACUGUUAGCACCUUACAGUAAAACUAUGUGACUCAUAUUUCUAAGCAUGAGGACUGCAUAUUUCUGUGAGGAAGUAGAUUAUUAUCGCAGUGCAUUUGUUAUACAAUGGAUGUAAGGAGCAAUAUGUAAUGUGUUCUGGUAUUUCUGUAGGUAUGAAGGAGAGACAUUCAUACACAGUGUUGAUGCCAACUUCAUAGUGUGGGAGAAUUUUAAUCCGACCAUGCGUCAGGUAGCUUGCCUUCGCAAGGCCCAAACAUGGAAAUCUAUGCUAGUUGAUGAGAAGCAUCCUGAUAAGGCCUGGGGACCUCUUAAUUACAAGAGCUGUUUUGUUGAUGACUCUGAAAAACUAGGAAACCUUGACCCACCCUAUGAAAUCAAGAAUAGGAGUUCCAAGAAUUACCCAAAUUAC
Molecule: long non-coding RNA, 583 nt
Organism: Cyprinus carpio (common carp)
Lineage: Eukaryota; Metazoa; Chordata; Actinopteri; Cypriniformes; Cyprinidae
Exons: 3
Source: RefSeq, a predicted model, not a curated record